AUGAACGCUGGCGGCGUGCCUAAUACAUGCAAGUCGAGCGAACAGACGAGGAGCUUGUUCCUCUGACGUUAGCGGCGGACGGGUGAGUAACACGUGGAUAACCUACCUAUAAGACUGGGAUAACUUCGGGAAACCGGAGCUAAUACCGGAUAAUAUAUUGAACCGCAUGGUUCAAUAGUGAAAGACGGUUUUGCUGUCACUUAUAGAUGGAUCCGCGCCGCAUUAGCUAGUUGGUAAGGUAACGGCUUACCAAGGCAACGAUGCGUAGCCGACCUGAGAGGGUGAUCGGCCACACUGGAACUGAGACACGGUCCAGACUCCUACGGGAGGCAGCAGUAGGGAAUCUUCCGCAAUGGGCGAAAGCCUGACGGAGCAACGCCGCGUGAGUGAUGAAGGUCUUCGGAUCGUAAAACUCUGUUAUUAGGGAAGAAUAAAUGUGUAAGUAACUAUGCACGUCUUGACGGUACCUAAUCAGAAAGCCACGGCUAACUACGUG
This 496-nucleotide ribosomal RNA is filed under the name uncultured bacterium. RNAcentral's name for it is "partial 16S ribosomal RNA". It matches the Rfam family "Bacterial small subunit ribosomal RNA", at positions 29 to 507 of the family's 1533-position model. The record is from RNAcentral.